Small nucleolar RNA from Sciurus vulgaris (Eurasian red squirrel), 129 nucleotides. Lineage: Eukaryota; Metazoa; Chordata; Mammalia; Rodentia; Sciuridae. The record is from Ensembl.
GCUAAGACUAGAAUCACAACCAGAAACAGCAUUGUCCUGUCGUGCUAGAGUCCUCAGAGAAAAUCUACUGGUCCUGAUUUACUGGUACAGGUAAUCAGAAGUCCUAUGAUUGUCUGGUCAGAAACAUGC